Molecule: long non-coding RNA, 1164 nt
Filed under: Numida meleagris (helmeted guineafowl)
Lineage: Eukaryota; Metazoa; Chordata; Aves; Galliformes; Numididae
Description: lncRNA (ENSNMEG00000020323.1)
Source: RNAcentral
GUACUGUGCAGCUUCAGAAGAUGAAACUAUAAACUACAGUAGUCUAGAGGGAAGCUUUAUGCUUAAGACAGUACAGAAACCACAGGGAGAAUAGAAAUAUCCUUAGGGAUCUUGACUAUGGGCUCUGAAGGCUGCACGCUAUUUAUUGCACAUGGUCACAUACAUAUCACACAAUGUUCAGUUCCAAACCAUAGCAACAAAGUCAUCAUGUACCAUGUAUGGAUGCGACACUGAGGGACAUGGCAUAGUGAGCAAUACUGGUGGUAGGUGGAUGGCUGGACUAGAUGAUCUUGAAGGUCUUUUCUAACAUUAUGGUCAUGGCCAGACCCGUGAUAAGAGAGCAGAGAGAUUCAAAUAAUAGUGGAAACAGAAAAGAGAGAAGCAGGUGGGAGACAGUAUCUAUCACAGUGAAGUUAAUGCCUGAAGGGAGCUGUAUGUCGAGACGGAAGUAAGUUAUCUUUAGCAGCCUUGGUAAAGAAAGAAAGAAAAGAUACAGAUCAGAGGAGUUAUUUUUGGCAGAAGUUUCAUUAUGUCCUAUCGGUGGCAGAAGAGGAGGGAGUAGGCCAUUCUAGUUCAACAGUAGAGAAAAGUACUACCAAGACAUCUAACUGAACAGCUAGGAAGCAUCUAAAGCAGCACUGCUUCUGUCUGAUAUCUCCAGAGCUGGGAAUUGGAAAGUGAAGUCUCUGAGUGAUGGAUGGCAAGCACUGCCUUUUGACACCAUACUGGAAAUAGUGGAUGAAUGCUUUGACCUCUGGAUUUGCAUACAUUUGCACUACUUUUCAUGGAGAUGUUCUGCGCAGGCAGCAACUUGCAAAUGGCUGUUGUCUUUCUGUGGAGCUAUGCUGCCAUUUCCCUGUGGUAUGGUGUAAUUCAGCAUGUUUUAUCCACGGUGCCCUACAUCCUUGGUGAUGGGAAGGGAACUGCCUUUUUGGAGAAUCGAGGAACACUGGCUGCUGUCUGACAACUGAAGAGGCAUAAGGCAGGUAGCAGACUGAAAAGUUUCCAAUUCCUAAUGUUUUCUUUCUACAGUUAUCUUUUAGGAGGAAGAUAGUGUCAAAGGCAACCACUAGAAUAAUGCUUAUCACUGAGAGUGCAUGAAGUGGAAUUGCAAAUAGACUGUGAAUAUCACUGUCAGAAGAUAGUCCUCACAUUAAAGUCUCU